GAUGAACGCUGGCGGCGUGCCUAAUACAUGCAAGUCGAGCGAACAGAUGAUGAGCUUGCUCCUCUGACGUUAGCGGAGGACGGGUGAGUAACACGUGGAUACCCCACCUAUAAGACUGGGAUAACUUCGGGAAACCGGAGCAAAUACCGGAUAAUAUAUUGAACCGCAUGGUUCAAUAGUGAAAGACGGUUUUGCUGUCACUUAUAGAUGGAUCUGCGCCGCAUUAGCUAGUUGGUAAGGUAACGGCUUACCAAGGCUACGAUGCGUAGCCGACCUGAGAGGGUGAUAGGCCACACUGGAGCUUAGACGCGGUCCAUACUACUGCGGGAGGGAGCAGUAGGGUAUCUUCCGCAGUAGGCGAGAGUAUGACGGAGCGACGCCGCGUGAGUGAUGGAGGUCUUCGGAUCGUAAUACUCUGUUAUUAGGGAAGAACAAAUGUGUAAUUAACUAUACACGUCUUGACGGUACCUAAUCAGAAAGCCACGGCUAACUACGUG
Molecule: ribosomal RNA, 497 nt
Filed under: uncultured bacterium
Lineage: Bacteria
Description: partial 16S ribosomal RNA
Rfam family: Bacterial small subunit ribosomal RNA
Source: RNAcentral